RNAcentral lists this transfer RNA (82 nucleotides) under Colletotrichum lupini. Its description in RNAcentral is "tRNA-OTHER". Lineage: Eukaryota; Fungi; Ascomycota; Sordariomycetes; Glomerellales; Glomerellaceae. The record is from RNAcentral.
GGCCGGUUGGCCCAAUGGCAAGGCGUCUGACUAUGACAUACCGUGGAAUCAGGAGAUUGUGGUUCGACCCCCAUGCUGGUCA